CCUACGGGCGGCAGCAGUGGGGAAUAUUGGACAAUGGGGGGAACCCUGAUCCAGCCAUGCCGCGUGUGUGAAGAAGGCCCUCGGGUUGUAAAGCACUUUCAGUGAGGAAGAACGCCUGGUGGUUAAUACCCAUCAGGAAAGACAUCACUCACAGAAGAAGCACCGGCUAACUCCGUGCCAGCAGCCGCGGUAAUACGGAGGGUGCGAGCGUUAAUCGGAAUUACUGGGCGUAAAGCGCGCGUAGGUGGCUUGAUAAGCCGGUUGUGAAAGCCCCGGGCUCAACCUGGGAACGGCAUCCGGAACUGUCAAGCUAGAGUGCAGGAGAGGAAGGUAGAAUUCCCGGUGUAGCGGUGAAAUGCGUAGAGAUCGGGAGGAAUACCAGUGGCGAAGGCGGCCUUCUGGACUGACACUGACACUGAGGUGCGAAAGCGUGGGUAGCAAACAGGAUUAGAUACCUGAGUAGUC
This 465-nucleotide ribosomal RNA is filed under the name Vreelandella stevensii. RNAcentral describes it as "partial 16S ribosomal RNA". It matches the Rfam family "Bacterial small subunit ribosomal RNA", at positions 338 to 795 of the family's 1533-position model. Lineage: Bacteria; Pseudomonadati; Pseudomonadota; Gammaproteobacteria; Oceanospirillales; Halomonadaceae. The record is from RNAcentral.